UCCAUGUUUCCUUCCCCCUUCU
RNAcentral lists this microRNA (22 nucleotides) under Homo sapiens (human). Its description in RNAcentral is "hsa-miR-4716-5p". The record is from miRBase by way of RNAcentral. Lineage: Eukaryota; Metazoa; Chordata; Mammalia; Primates; Hominidae.